AACUCGCGGGGAGCGCGGACCCCGGCGACGACGAGACCCGCGUUAGGACGCGCAGCGCCGGCUCUUCUGGAGCCAGGAGUGCAGGCCAGACAGCCAGUUACAAGGAUCCAAUACAACGUGGGAAACAAGCUUCCGUGGAUGGGUUGCGCAGUGGCAGCCCUGUGGUGCCCGCCUCACCUGGACACACGCAGUUGCACCUGAUCCCCUGCUGGAUGAAGUCUGUGGCCACGGACUUCGUGAGGCCAAUCACAGCCGCCUUGGUGGCGCUGUACACACAUCUGUUCAUAACUCCUGAGGUGAAAGGAAGACUCAACAAUCGAAGGAACAAAACAACAGUCUCCUUGAGGAAGGGAGCACAACUGACUGUCCCCAGGAACCACUGUCCUGUUUCCUGCCAUCCCACCCUUUUUAAAAUUUGGUGUCAGGUUUUCUCCCUGAAGAGGGCCGGUUUCUGACUGUGGGAAAAUAAUAUCGUUCCUGGCACAACUCAGUCGAGACUGAGGCGUUGAGAACCUGCACUUAGGUGAUGGCAGCGGUCUUAGGUUUUCAUCAUCGGUGGGCAGAACCCUUGGGCGGAUUGCAAAAGAGAAUCAGGGGAAAGAACAACAGAACAAACACCAGACCAAGAAAUGAAGAGGCCUGUGGCCUCUCUUUGCCUUCCUGUCUUGGACAGGCUCACGGGUGUUCUUGAGUUGAGAAGGGACGCCACCUCCGCGGUAACUCUUUCAUUUGAAGCGUGCAAGUCCGUCUGCCGGACUGUGAUGUCAUUUCCAUUGGGCACUGCAGUCCCGGCUCUUGGACUUGACUUGUGUUUGGGGCCCAGAUCACUCCCCCAUAUCAGUGGUGCCAGCGCUUUGCACAAACCCGGCUGGUAAUACUGUCACACUGCAGAAGAUGUGCACUUGCCUGACCCUCCCCCUUGUGGACCGUGAGGGGCACAUAGCGUUCGAUACAUCUUUCUUGGCUAAUUGAAUGUUUAAAUAUUUCCUUCUUCCGGCUUGAUUUUCAUGUUCACAUCCAUUAGAAGGAAUACAAGGAAGGGCAAAUGAAACAAAUUUAUUUUUUACGACUGGUUUACAACGAAGGCAAAAAAGACGGACAGUAAGGAACUUAAUACCAAUUUUUUAAAAAGUGGUUUUGAAAUUAUGUGUGGGCUUUAUAAUCUCUGCUAUGCUCAUUGCAAAAACCCACAGCUCGUGAAGGUACGGGGGUCUGUGCAUCGUGAUUCCCAGAGGAAAACAGACCUACCUUUGACGCUGGAUGCCACAGACGACAUGUUGAUAAUGUUGCCAGAUUUCUGUGCAAGCAUCUGCCAAAACAAAACAAAUACAAAAAAAAAAAAAAAAAAAGCCACUCUGUAAGAUAAGAAUGCGACCUCUUUAGAAGAUUUGCAUUUACUUAUGGUUUGCAGAAGCAUCUUAUUAGCUAUUAACAUGAAGCGCUGUUAGGCAGUCUUAACAGCCUCACCCAGUCAUUACGCACUCACUGGCAGGAACAUUUCCCAGGGGGAUUACCGCCUUCCUUUGGCACAAAAGCAUCAGCAAGACCAAGAAGGAACUCUGAGCUAAAUGAAAAGUUAAUGAACAUUAAUCGUUACUUUGUAUUCCUGCUGUUGGAAAACUCUUUCUUUGUUUGACACAUGUUUGUUGAAGACGUACUAUGAUCAGAUACAGUGGGCAUGUAGGUAGGUCCGGAGGCAUGGAGACCCAUGAAUGCUUUGGGGGCAGGAGCAACACCUGAAGAGCACUCCUGCCCGAUGGGCACUACCUUCUCAUUGAAAUCAGGCUCGGAGGAUGACCAUAAACAAGGCGGGGCUGGUGGACACGGAGAGUGGUCAAGAGUUACAACAAGCGCUGGGAGGAAAUGGAAGACCACCACCAGAGAACAGAGGAAGGAAAAGCAGGACAUGCUGUGCCAUGAAAGUCAAGUAAAAAGUUUCUAAGAAGAAAGCGUCUCAACAGUCAGUGUAGAGGGAGAAGUCGCUUCUGCUUCGGUGAGUUGCUCUAGCCGCUUUCAGACCAAGAGGUGCAGGAAUGGAGAAAUGACUUUGUUGGUCAUGGGUAUCAUCACUUACGUCUAGACUAAACUGCAAGAAGAAACGAGAGGCCAGAAGAAGAGAUGAAAACACUGACCGUGAGAGAUCUGGUGCGGGAUCUGAGAGAGACACGCUGUACUAGCUACUAAAAAAAAACAAAACAAAAAACCAAACCAAAACAAAACAAAAACCCUAAACCAACAAAUAGGCUUUUUG
This is a non-coding RNA of Leptonychotes weddellii (Weddell seal), 2251 nucleotides long. The record is from RefSeq and is a predicted model, not a curated record. Lineage: Eukaryota; Metazoa; Chordata; Mammalia; Carnivora; Phocidae.